UCCAGACUCCUACGGGAGGCAGCAGUGGGGAAUAUUGGGCAAUGGACGCAAGUCUGACCCAGCAACGCCGCGUGAAGGAAGAAGGCUUUCGGGUUGUAAACUUCUUUUAAGGGGGAAGAGCAGAAGACGGUACCCCUUGAAUAAGCCACGGCUAACUACGUGCCAGCAGCCGCGGUAAUACGUAGGUGGCAAGCGUUGUCCGGAUUUACUGGGUGUAAAGGGCGUGCAGCCGGGAAGACAAGUCAGAUGUGAAAUCCCGCGGCUCAACCGCGGAACUGCAUUUGAAACUUUUUUUCUUGAGUAUCGGAGAGGUAAUCGGAAUUCCUAGUGUAGCGGUGAAAUGCGUAGAUAUUAGGAAGAACACCAGUGGCGAAGGCGGAUUACUGGACGACAACUGACGGUGAGGCGCGAAAGCGUGGGGAGCAAACAGGAUUAGA
RNAcentral lists this ribosomal RNA (437 nucleotides) under uncultured bacterium. Its description in RNAcentral is "bacterial SSU rRNA". It matches the Rfam family "Bacterial small subunit ribosomal RNA", at positions 330 to 782 of the family's 1533-position model. The record is from RNAcentral.